AGUAUGAUGCCUGAAUAAAGGACUAUUUUGAUAGAAUAGAUAAUGCACCAUGUGCUCUUACU
RNAcentral lists this transfer RNA (62 nucleotides) under Mezira sp. RNAcentral describes it as "tRNA-Ile". Lineage: Eukaryota; Metazoa; Arthropoda; Insecta; Hemiptera; Aradidae. The record is from RNAcentral.